This 253-nucleotide ribosomal RNA is filed under the name uncultured bacterium. RNAcentral describes it as "partial 16S ribosomal RNA". It matches the Rfam family "Bacterial small subunit ribosomal RNA", at positions 524 to 776 of the family's 1533-position model. The record is from RNAcentral.
UACGUAGGGUGCAAGCGUUAAUCGGAAUUACUGGGCGUAAAGCGUGCGCAGGCGGUUGUGCAAGAGCGAUGUGAAAUCCCCGGGCUCAACCUGGGAAUGGCAUUGGUGACUGCACGGCUAGAGUGUGUCAGAGGGGGGUAGAAUUCCACGUGUAGCAGUGAAAUGCGUAGAGAUGUGGAGGAAUACCGAUGGCGAAGGCAGCCCCCUGGGAUAACACUGACGCUCAUGCACGAAAGCGUGGGGAGCAAACAGG